CAGCAGUGGGGAAUAUUGCACAAUGGGCGCAAAGCCUGAUGCAGCAACGCCGCGUGAGCGAUGAAGGCCUUCGGGUCGUAAAGCUCUGUCCUCAAGGAAGAAUAAAUGACGGUACUUGAGGAGGAAGCCCCGGCUAACUACGUGCCAGCAGCCGCGGUAAUACGUAGGGGGCAAGCGUUAUCCGGAAUCACUGGGCGUAAAGGGUGCGUAGGCGGUUUUCUAAGUCAGAAGUGAAAGGCUAUGGCUCAACCAUAGUAAGCUUUUGAAACUGUUAAACUUGAGUGCAGGAGAGGAAAGUGGAAUUCCUAGUGUAGAGGUGAAAUUCGUAGAUAUUAGGAGGAACACCAGUGGCGAAGGCGACUUUCUGGACUGUAACUGACGCUGAGGCACGAAAGCGUGGGGAGCGAACAGGAUUAGAUACCCUGGGAG
RNAcentral lists this ribosomal RNA (429 nucleotides) under uncultured bacterium. RNAcentral's name for it is "bacterial SSU rRNA". It matches the Rfam family "Bacterial small subunit ribosomal RNA", at positions 349 to 793 of the family's 1533-position model. The record is from RNAcentral.